This 431-nucleotide ribosomal RNA is filed under the name uncultured bacterium. RNAcentral's name for it is "bacterial SSU rRNA". It matches the Rfam family "Bacterial small subunit ribosomal RNA", at positions 29 to 506 of the family's 1533-position model. The record is from RNAcentral.
ACGAACGCUGGCGGCAUGCCUAACACAUGCAAGUCGAACGAAGGCUUCGGCCUUAGUGGCGCACGGGUGCGUAACGCGUGGGAAUCUGCCCUUGGGUUCGGAAUAACAGUUGGAAACGACUGCUAAUACCGGAUGAUGUCGCGAGACCAAAGAUUUAUCGCCCAGGGAUGAGCCCGCGUCGGAUUAGGUAGUUGGUGGGGUAAAGGCCUACCAAGCCGACGAUCCGUAGCUGGUCUGAGAGGAUGAUCAGCCACACUGGGACUGAGACACGGCCCAGACUCCUACGGGAGGCAGCAGUGGGGAAUAUUGGACAAUGGGCGAAAGCCUGAUCCAGCAAUGCCGCGUGAGUGAUGAAGGCCUUAGGGUUGUAAAGCUCUUUUACCCGGGAUGAUAAUGACAGUACCGGGAGAAUAAGCUCCGGCUAACUCCGU